GGCUUUAUAGUCAAGGAUGACAUUAGAUUGCAAUUCUAAAGGGGUAGAUUUUACUAAAGCUU
This 62-nucleotide transfer RNA is filed under the name Lipotactes tripyrga. RNAcentral's name for it is "tRNA-Cys". It matches the Rfam family "tRNA". Rfam says of the family: Transfer RNA (tRNA) molecules are approximately 80 nucleotides in length. Their secondary structure includes four short double-helical elements and three loops (D, anti-codon, and T loops). The record is from RNAcentral. Lineage: Eukaryota; Metazoa; Arthropoda; Insecta; Orthoptera; Tettigoniidae.